CAGUCAGAGGCGAUGAAGGACGUGCUAAUCUGCGAUAAGCGUCGGUAAGGUGAUAUGAACCGUUAUAACCGGCGAUUUCCGAAUGGGGAAACCCAGUGUGUUUCGACACACUAUCAUUAACUGAAUCCAUAGGUUAAUGAGGCGAACCGGGGGAACUGAAACAUCUAAGUACCCCGAGGAAAAGAAAUCAACCGAGAUUCCCCCAG
This 206-nucleotide ribosomal RNA is filed under the name Escherichia coli. Its description in RNAcentral is "partial 23S ribosomal RNA". It matches the Rfam family "Bacterial large subunit ribosomal RNA", at positions 37 to 243 of the family's 2925-position model. Lineage: Bacteria; Pseudomonadati; Pseudomonadota; Gammaproteobacteria; Enterobacterales; Enterobacteriaceae. The record is from RNAcentral.